GACGAACGCUGGCGGCGUGCCUAAUACAUGCAAGUAGAACGCUGAAGGAGGGGCUUGCUCUUCUGGAUGAGUUGCGAACGGGUGAGUAACGCGUAGGUAACCUGCCUGGUAGCGGGGGAUAACUAUUGGAAACGAUAGCUAAUACCGCAUAAGAGUAGAUGUUGCAUGACAUUUACUUAAAAGGUGCAAUUGCAUCACUACCAGAUGGACCUGCGUUGUAUUAGCUAGUUGGUGGGGUAACGGCUUACCAAGGCGACGAUACAUAGCCGACCUGAGAGGGUGAACGGCCACACUGGGACUGAGACACGGCCCAGACGCCUACGAGAGGCAGGAGUAGGGAAUCUUGGGCAAUGGACGGAAGGCUGACCAGGCAACGGCGCGUGAGUGGAGAAGGUUUUCGGAUCGUAAAGCUCUGUAGUAAGAGAAGAACGAGUGUGAGAGUGGAAAGGUCACACUGUGACGGUAUCUUACCAGAAAGGGACGGCUAACUACGUG
RNAcentral lists this ribosomal RNA (495 nucleotides) under uncultured bacterium. RNAcentral's name for it is "partial 16S ribosomal RNA". It matches the Rfam family "Bacterial small subunit ribosomal RNA", at positions 28 to 507 of the family's 1533-position model. The record is from RNAcentral.